GGGAAAUACCACUUCCGGACAGCUGUAAACAACGUGUGUGGUUCCACGCUUCAUAUAUUAGACUGUAAUUUACAUUGAGAACCAUGUCUUCAUUUAAAAAAGUGGCGAAGUCUGGACAGAAGACUCAUCGGGAGAGAUCUCAGUUGUCUGUAAGAAAACAUUUAGGAUUAUUGGAGAAGAAAAAAGACUAUCGACUUAGAGCAAGGGAUUACCACAAGAAACAAAAUUAUUUAAAAGUGCUGAAAAAAAAGGCCUUGGAUAAAAAUCCUGAAGAAUUCUACUUUAAAAUGAUCAACUCCAAGCUGAAGG
Saccoglossus kowalevskii is the source of this 309-nucleotide long non-coding RNA. The record is from RefSeq and is a predicted model, not a curated record. Lineage: Eukaryota; Metazoa; Hemichordata; Enteropneusta; Harrimaniidae.